AAUAAAAAUAUAAAAUUAAUAAUUUUAAUUUUUAAAUUUGAACUUACAUUUCAAUUAAAAAUUUAAUAAAGUUUUAAAUAAAAAUAUUGGAUAUAAUUGAGACAUUUGUGGAACAGGCAUUCACUUCAUAUGAAUUCAAUUUUCAAUCCGACCUGAUUGGUUAGGGAAUUUUUAUUUUACUCAAAAAUCAAAAUUAGAAUGAAACUUCUGCGUAUCAAACACUCAUCUAUAAGGGCGAAUCUA
RNAcentral lists this long non-coding RNA (243 nucleotides) under Ananas comosus (pineapple). RNAcentral describes it as "long non-coding RNA (ACOM_LNC010056)". The record is from RNAcentral. Lineage: Eukaryota; Viridiplantae; Streptophyta; Magnoliopsida; Poales; Bromeliaceae.